CGGGCAGGCGGUUCGUUAAGUCCCCUGUGAAACUCCGAGGCUCAACUUCGGACAUGCAGGAGAUACUGGCGAGCUAGAGAUCGGUAGAGGCAGGCGGAAUUCCUGGUGUAGCGGUGGAAUGCGUAGAUAUCAGGAAGAACACCUGUGGCGAAGGCGGCCUGCUGGGCCGAUUCUGACGCUGAUCCGCGAAAGCGUGGGGAGCAAACAGGAUUAGAUACCCUGGUAGUCC
This 229-nucleotide ribosomal RNA is filed under the name uncultured bacterium. RNAcentral's name for it is "partial 16S ribosomal RNA". It matches the Rfam family "Bacterial small subunit ribosomal RNA", at positions 568 to 796 of the family's 1533-position model. The record is from RNAcentral.